Molecule: long non-coding RNA, 321 nt
Filed under: Trifolium pratense (red clover)
Lineage: Eukaryota; Viridiplantae; Streptophyta; Magnoliopsida; Fabales; Fabaceae
Description: long non-coding RNA (TPRA_LNC004410)
Source: RNAcentral
GUGAAUCAUUAAUUGAAUGAAGUUUUGUUUUAUUGUUAUAAAUUAUUGAUUAUUAUUUUAAAUCGAGAGAUUCAAUUUGUCUUUCAAAUACAAAUAUUAUUAUAGUCAAUUCAGUUAUGACUUGUGACAAUCUAGAAUUGUUGAAAAUUUUGAGAAAUAUAAACUUCGGUCCCAUGUUAAUGAACAUUAUGAGGCGGAAAUUGCAAAGUCUCUUGAAGAUAUUGAGUUUGGGGGAGAGAUAUGGUAAAAGAACAAAAUUGAGUGAGGAAGAAUUGGUUCUAAAUCAAUUCAUAUAGUUACUAUUUAUAUAGUAAAUUUGGG